Molecule: signal recognition particle RNA, 97 nt
Filed under: Celerinatantimonas diazotrophica
Lineage: Bacteria; Pseudomonadati; Pseudomonadota; Gammaproteobacteria; Celerinatantimonadaceae
Description: Bacterial small signal recognition particle RNA
Rfam family: Bacterial small signal recognition particle RNA
About the family: The signal recognition particle (SRP) is a universally conserved ribonucleoprotein involved in the co-translational targeting of proteins to membranes. Archaeal SRP consists of a 7S RNA and homologues of the eukaryotic SRP19 and SRP54 proteins. In most bacteria, the SRP consists of a 4.5S RNA and the Ffh protein (a homologue of the eukaryotic SRP54 protein).
Source: Rfam by way of RNAcentral
UGCGGGUUCUCCCGCAUCGAUACUCUGUGGACUCGGUCAGGCCUGGAAGGGAGCAGCCGCAGCAGACGACUCGAGUGCCGGGGUGUUGCUCGUAGGA